CUUGAUUGUAUUAUUGUGAAAGGUCCUAAAACAACAGCAUUACGUAUAGCUCACAGAAAAGAUAUACAGAUUGUUAAAAGGAAAGCAUGAAAUGCAAAUGUUUAGCAGUGUUCCCGUUAUUCUUUAUUCUGGUUAAAUUAAAGCUGAAGGAUUUCCUUAAAAACCCAACUCCCUGACAGCCUUCAGGUGUACAGGCUUGAUUAGUGCCUCUAACUCUUCCUUCCUGUAGCUAUUCUGCUGCCAGGAAGUUUAGACCCCUACAUUGAGCUGCUGUGGGGACCAGCACAGGUUCUGGGACAUCUUCUCUACAAACAUUGAAAGUUGGUGGACCCCCAGUCUACAGAAUCAUCUUUUGAUAUUUUUCCCUAAAUGGCUGACCUCACAGCUGGUAUCAGGCCAGCUGGAGCUCCAUGCAGAGGGGCUGCUUUGCCCGGGCAGGUUGGCCCAUGGUCUCUUUAGGAAGUACUCGAGGAUUUCAGCAUCGUCUCCCAUGACUGAGCCUGUGCAGGAGCAGGCUUUUUCUGUCCAUGCUCUGCCUUCUGUUGCAUGGAGGAAAACUGUUGGUUCCUUUAUCUUGCAUAUUAAAGGUGGAUUUUGUACCUCUUUCUCUCAGUGAAACAUCCCUGUGGCUAAUUGCAGUGACACUGAUAUUCGAAGGUUUCUAGAGCAGUUCAAUUUAAACAUUGUGACUUUGUGAGCCUGGCAUCGAGUGCUGGAAGGAGCACAUUUAUUGAAGACUUAAAACUAGUGGAGAUGUUGCUAUAUACGCUGUGAGAGAGCUGUUAUGCUUCUUCUCUUUGACUGUAUUAUUUCACUCAUUAGAAUAAACUAUCAGCAAAUCUCCUGUUGUAUGUUCUU
RNAcentral lists this long non-coding RNA (858 nucleotides) under Anser brachyrhynchus (Pink-footed goose). RNAcentral's name for it is "lncRNA (ENSABRG00000020418.1)". The record is from RNAcentral. Lineage: Eukaryota; Metazoa; Chordata; Aves; Anseriformes; Anatidae.